This 632-nucleotide non-coding RNA is filed under the name Pan troglodytes (chimpanzee). The record is from RNAcentral. Lineage: Eukaryota; Metazoa; Chordata; Mammalia; Primates; Hominidae.
GGAAGGGAGGAAGCGUAGAAGGUGCCGAUGCACUUUUCCUCUCUCCAGCCCUCCUGACUGCUCCAAGAAUUUCAUCGAACAAGACUCAAAGAGGCCCAGCUGCUCUGCGUUUUGAUUCUUCUCCCUCUCUCAGUCCACACUGACCUGGGAGGGGCUUCUCAAACACCACAUUUCCUAGCAUGCUGUGAGAAGAGGACUGUGAGCUAAGAAGGGAGAAAAGCCAAAUAAAAACACAGACAAACCAACCAACCAAGCACUGACGAGCCAGUAAAGAGGGAACUGUGGGGGAAUCAGGGCUGAGAGAAUCUCUGAUACAGCAGCGGAAAUAGGCACUCCCUCCUCAUCAACAAACACCUGACCUGGGUAGACCCUCUGCUUACCAAGAUCCAGUCCACCUUUUGACAUCAGCAUUCAUGCUGCCUCUUUUUACGAACCAAGCCAAAGUGGUCCCUUCCUCUGGAAAUUAUAGGAUACUUAAUGUACAUCAUAUCCAGGUGGGCGGUUCUCCACUGGCUACAAACAUCCAGCUUUGACUGUCUGACCCAGCCCCCUUUCCAGCCUCCAGUCCUACCACGGCGCCUGACACCGGCUACAUCAAACUCCUGGAGCAACCAGAACUCAAGGCCCUUUUU